This 424-nucleotide ribosomal RNA is filed under the name uncultured prokaryote. Its description in RNAcentral is "bacterial SSU rRNA". It matches the Rfam family "Bacterial small subunit ribosomal RNA", at positions 355 to 796 of the family's 1533-position model. The record is from RNAcentral.
UGGGGCAUAUUGGACAAUGCGGGAAACCGUGAUCCAGCCAUGCCGCGUGAGUGAUGAUGGCCUUAGGGUUGUAAAGCUCUUUUACCAGGGAUGAUAAUGACAGUACCUGGAGAAUAAGCUCCGGCUAACUCCGUGCCAGCAGCCGCGGUAAUACGGAGGGAGCUAGCGUUGUUCGGAAUUACUGGGCGUAAAGCGCGCGUAGGCGGCUAUCCAAGUCAGGGGUGAAAUCCCGGGGCUCAACCCCGGAACUGCCCAUGAUACCAGGUAGCUACAAUACUGGAGAGGUGAGUGGAAUUCCGAGUGUAGAGGUGAAAUUCGUAGAUAUUCGGAAGAACACCAGUGGCGAAGGCGACUCACUGGACAGUUAUUGACGCUGAGGUGCGAAAGCGUGGGGAGCAAACAGGAUUAGAUACCCCCGUAGUCC